This 74-nucleotide transfer RNA is filed under the name Clostridiaceae bacterium. Its description in RNAcentral is "tRNA-Gly". It matches the Rfam family "tRNA". Rfam says of the family: Transfer RNA (tRNA) molecules are approximately 80 nucleotides in length. Their secondary structure includes four short double-helical elements and three loops (D, anti-codon, and T loops). Lineage: Bacteria; Bacillati; Bacillota; Clostridia; Eubacteriales; Clostridiaceae. The record is from RNAcentral.
GCAGGUAUAGCUCAGUGGUAGAGUGCCGGCUUCCCAAGCCGGAUAGGCGGGUCCGAUUCCCGUUACCUGCUCCA